RNAcentral lists this unclassified non-coding RNA (341 nucleotides) under soil metagenome. RNAcentral describes it as "partial contains 5.8S ribosomal RNA, internal transcribed spacer 2, and large subunit ribosomal RNA". The stretch from base 1 to 120 matches the Rfam family "5.8S ribosomal RNA", at positions 35 to 154 of the family's 154-position model. The record is from RNAcentral.
GAUGAAGAACGCAGCGAAAUGCGAUAAGUAGUGUGAAUUGCAGAAUUCCGUGAAUCAUCGAAUCUUUGAACGCACAUUGCGCCCCCUGGCAUUCCGGGAGGCAUGCCUGUUCGAGCGUCAUUUCAACCUUCAAGCCUGGCUUGGUGUUGGGCGCUGUCCCGCCUCCGCGCGCGGACUCGCCCCAAAUGAAUUGGCAGUCGCACCCUCCGAGCCGCGAGCGCAGCACAAGUCGCGCGGGCGGAACUCUGGGGGGACGGACGCUCCACAAGACCCUUUCUCAGUCUUGACCUCGGAUCAGGUAGGGAUACCCGCUGAACUUAAGCAUAUCAAUAAGCGGAGGA